UCAUGUUGAAAAUAUCAAAAUAGCCAUGAGUGCCAAGUUCGUGGAUUAUUUUGUUUUUUAAACAGAGUUCAUAAUAUUAACAACAGCAGGAGGUCAAGGUCUGGAAGACUCACUCCUCAAUGACAGAGAAAGCGGCUCCGAUACCAUCAAUUUUCAGCCUGGAAACCUUAAAAGAAAAUAAUUGCAUUUCUCAGCAGAGCAAUCCUUGCAGGGCUAAUAUAGGAGAGCCCGGCAGACAUCUAGAGAAUGUAGUGCCCUCUCCAAGGCUGUUUCCAGUUUCUGGAAGAAGGUUGCAAUGGAGUGUAUUUGAAUUGUAGUGCAAGACUCUUGAUUUGCUGAUAACGCUCCACAGGUGUUGUGUGCCAACGAUCCCCUUUUGCAGCCGAUCACCAUAGAGUUCAGCACCGGGUGCUGCAGUAAGGAGAUACCGAUGGUGUCUUCGGAGGUGGACCUGGUUCAUCGUCCACAUCCUGAUCAACGUCAAGUCCAGUGCUAAGAAAACCCUGGAACGUCGACCCCAAUGGUGUGCUGGAUGUAGAGUCUAACAGCUCCAACAGAGAAGUAGCUUUAUCCUGACCCAGGGAGAAUCCCUCAUCCUGGUCAUAAUCAGCCGACAAGUGUCUCUUAUGGAUGUCUCCAGGCACUGUGCUGCUCCUUUGGAGGGUAGAAGGAGACUAGACUGGGGUUAACGCCGGUGAGAAAAGGAGAUGCCUUCUCAAUGUCGAAAGAGGCUUCGCCGUCCACACUAUCGGUAAUGAAUCGAAGGGUGUCAACAUUGACGCUUUCGAUGCUGAGCCCAUCUGGAUGGACACCAAAGUUGAGGUUUUCAGCAUCAAAGUCCUCUGUACAAGACUCUAUGUCAAUAACGAGUUCUCCGACUCCCAUGCCGAGCUGCACUUCUGUAUUAAUGUCAGCAAUGGUGUUCCACUAAGCGUUGCCUCUUUGUGGGCGGCGAAGCACUCUCCUGCUCCGAAUCACGCCUCUGCUUCUUCUUCUUGUGCCUGUGAGCUUUUGUCGAUACCUCUUUCGGUUUCUUAAAGACAGGCUCUGGCGCCACGGUGUUAGACUGCUCCUUGGCAACUCCGUGGGCGCUUGAUAUCGAGCUCGGUACCAAGUUAAUUCCUAAUGCCGAAGAGUGACUUGGUCUCAGAGUUGGCGGCAGGAGCACCUUGUCAUAAAGUGCUGCUCGCAGGUGUAGCGCUCUGUUUUUUAAGGUUUGUUUUGAAAACGAGCAACAGAUUUUACAAGUUGCCAUAUUGUGUUGCUCACCGAGAUACAACAAGCACGGGUCGUGAUGGUCUGUAGACGGCAGCGUAGUGUGGCAUUAAACACAUCUUUUGAAAGUUGUUUUAGUUUCCAUAUUAAGGCUCGGAUGGAGCUAAUAGCCUCCGCGUCUUUGCAAAGUUGCACAAUGUCUCUCCAAGUCAGUUUUUAUUCUUAUUAGUUAAAUUGUCGAGCCAAGAGUAGUCAAAAGAAGUCCUGAGGUCAAUAUUUCAAUAAAUCAAUCCUAAAUUCUCUAUUAAACUUUUUGUAUUUCCGUUGAACCGAGGAGCUAAUACCAAGGUAUAGAUGCU
Molecule: long non-coding RNA, 1574 nt
Organism: Hemicordylus capensis (graceful crag lizard)
Lineage: Eukaryota; Metazoa; Chordata; Lepidosauria; Squamata; Cordylidae
Exons: 5
Source: RefSeq, a predicted model, not a curated record